GAUGAACGCUGGCGGGCGUGCCUAACACAUGCAAGUCGAACGAAGCAAUAAAGACGGAGAUUCGUCAAAGCCUUUAUUGACUUAGUGGCGGACGGGUGAGUAACGCGUGAGCAACCUGCCUUUCAGAGGGGGACAACAGUUGGAAACGGCUGCUAAUACCGCAUAAUAUACAGAGGGGGCAUCCCUUUUGUAUCAAAGGAGAGAUCCGCUGAAAGAUGGGCUCACGUCUGAUUAGCUGGUUGGUGGGGUAAAGGCCUACCAAGGCUGCGAUCAGUAGCCGGACUGAGAGGUUGAACGGCCACAUUGGGACUGAGAUACGGACCAA
RNAcentral lists this ribosomal RNA (325 nucleotides) under uncultured bacterium. Its description in RNAcentral is "bacterial SSU rRNA". It matches the Rfam family "Bacterial small subunit ribosomal RNA", at positions 28 to 334 of the family's 1533-position model. The record is from RNAcentral.